ACAUAAAACAGAGCACUGAGUAUCCCAAAGGUGCUCAACCAUGACCUGGAUGACUGAGAAUCUCCGUAGACAUUGAGAGCACUGACUUCAUCUCACGCUCUUUGAAGGACAGUCAAAACAAGUUGUUGAAUACGUCCGGUUUAACAACUGGUUCGGUGAGUGCACACUUUGCGCAUGUAUGCAUGCUUGCACGCAGUGCUGAAAAUGGAGAAUUUAGAAGCUCAGCUGCUUACCUUCCAAGUCAGCAAUGUACAUUUGGCCCAUCUGAGCAACUGACUCCAAAGGCCAUUAAGAAGAAGCCUGAUCAAGGUUUUGCAGAAAACAAAACUGCUCCUUGUUUUACUGACAAUGCUAGCAGUCCCUUUCUCACUCAAGAAGAACUCAUUCAUAACUGUGUUGAUCGAGACGGGUGGAAAUCUCUUGCACAGCAACUGCCAGACCAGAGAUCUUCAACCAACAUUAAACCUGCUGAGAUACCA
This is a non-coding RNA of Pantherophis guttatus, 479 nucleotides long. The record is from RefSeq and is a predicted model, not a curated record. Lineage: Eukaryota; Metazoa; Chordata; Lepidosauria; Squamata; Colubridae.